UACGUGAGCCCCAAGCGUUACCCGGAUUUACUGGGCGUAAAGGGUGUGUAGGCGGUCUACUUAGUCGCUUGUUAAAGCCCGGGGCUUAACCCCGGAAUCGCGGGCGAAACGGGUAGACUCGAGGGUGCGAGAGGUCUAUGGAACUCAUGGUGUAGGGGUGAAAUCCGUUGAUAUCAUGGGGAACACCAAAAGCGAAGGCAAUAGACUGGCGCAUUCCUGACGCUGAGACACGAAAGCCAGGGUAGCGAACGGG
RNAcentral lists this unclassified non-coding RNA (253 nucleotides) under uncultured Parcubacteria group bacterium. Its description in RNAcentral is "contains 16S-23S intergenic spacer region". It matches the Rfam family "Bacterial small subunit ribosomal RNA", at positions 524 to 776 of the family's 1533-position model. The record is from RNAcentral.